AACGAACGCUGGCGGCAGGCUUAACACAUGCAAGUCGAACGCAUCCUUCGGGGUGAGUGGCAGACGGGUGAGUAACGCGUGGGAACGUGCCCUUCAGUUCGGGAUAACCCAGGGAAACUUGGGCUAAUACCGGAUACGUGCGAGAGCAGAAAGAUUUAUCGCUGAAGGAUCGGCCCGCGUCUGAUUAGCUAGUUGGUGGGGUAAUGGCCCACCAAGGCGGCGAAUCAGUAGCUGGUCUGGGAGGAUGAUCAGCCACAUUGGGACUGAACCACGGCCCAAACUCCUAGGGGGGGAAGCAGUGGGGAAUAUGGGACAAGGGGGGAAAGCCUGAUCCAGCAAUGCCGGGUGGGUGAUGAGGCCUUAGGGUUGUAAAGCUCUUUCGUCCGGGACGAUAAUGACGGUACCGGAAGAAGAAGCCCCGGCUAACUUCGUGCCAGCCGCCGCCGUAA
This 449-nucleotide ribosomal RNA is filed under the name uncultured bacterium. RNAcentral's name for it is "partial 16S ribosomal RNA". It matches the Rfam family "Bacterial small subunit ribosomal RNA", at positions 29 to 523 of the family's 1533-position model. The record is from RNAcentral.